CCUACGGGUGGCAGCAGUAGGGAAUUUUGCGCAAUGGGCGAAAGCCUGACGCAGCAACGCCGCGUGAUCGAGACGCCCUUCGGGGUGUAAAGAUCUGUCAGUGGGGACGAAACUUGACGGUACCCACAGAGGAAGCACCGGCGAACUCCGUGCCAGCAGCCGCGGUAAUACGGGGGGUGCAAGCGUUGUCCGGAAUCAUUGGGCGUAAAGGGUUCGUAGGCGGCACGUAAAGUCUGGUGUUAAAGGCAGAGGCCCAACUUCUGUACGGCACUGGAUACUUGCGAGCUAGAGUGCGGUAGAGGUAAAGGGAAUUCCUGGUGUAGCGGUGAAAUGCUUAGAUAUCAGGAGGAACAGCGGUUGCGUAAGCGCUUUACUGGGCCGUAAUUGACGCUGAGGAACGAAAGCCAGGGUAGCAAAUAGGAUUAGAUACCCCGGUAGUC
Molecule: ribosomal RNA, 440 nt
Filed under: uncultured bacterium
Lineage: Bacteria
Description: partial 16S ribosomal RNA
Rfam family: Bacterial small subunit ribosomal RNA
Source: RNAcentral